RNAcentral lists this ribosomal RNA (253 nucleotides) under uncultured bacterium. Its description in RNAcentral is "partial 16S ribosomal RNA". It matches the Rfam family "Bacterial small subunit ribosomal RNA", at positions 524 to 776 of the family's 1533-position model. The record is from RNAcentral.
UACAGAGGUCUCAAGCGUUGUUCGGAUUCAUUGGGCGUAAAGGGUGCGUAGGUGGCGCCGUAAGUCAGGUGUGAAAUUUCGGAGCUUAACUCCGAAACUGCAUUUGAUACUGCGGUGCUUGAGGACUGGAGAGGAGACUGGAAUUUACGGUGUAGCAGUGAAAUGCGUAGAUAUCGGGAAGAACACCCGUGGCGAAGGCGGCUCUCUGGGACGGUACUGACGCUGAGACGCGAAAGCGUGGGGAGCGAACAGG